This is a long non-coding RNA of Lates calcarifer (barramundi perch), 1772 nucleotides long. RefSeq lists it as uncharacterized. The transcript has 3 exons. NCBI's taxonomy places the organism in Eukaryota, Metazoa, Chordata, Actinopteri, Centropomidae. The record is from RefSeq and is a predicted model, not a curated record.
GGGCAAUCAGAGCUGAUCAACACUAUAACAUCAUGACAACAUCAAACAGCUGUUCAGGUCAGAGGUCACCUGAGUGUCCCCACAGAGACAGAGCUGUGUGUGUGUGUGUGUGUGUGUAUCAGUGUUACAUCACUGUGACCUUUGACCUCUGAGUAUUUACAGCCUGUUCAGCAGCAGCUAUUUAAAUCAGAUUAACACACACACACACAUACACACAGCUCUAAUGAACCAAUCAGCAGCAGCCUCCAGGUCAGAUGAGGAAACAGCUUCAGAAUAAGUGAUACACGUAAGGCUUUAUUUAAGGGAUUAUUUUAAGGAGUUUUAAAUUAAAAUCAGCCUCAGUAUUUCUGUCAGUUUAAGGGAUUUCAAAAACCCUUAACAUCUUCCAGUCAGCUGGUGGAUCUGCUGUUUUCAGCUGGAGCAGGUUAAGUGAAGAGUUAAGGUCUUUUUAAAUGUAAAUGAAUAAUGAGGGGUUUGAGUUUUUCAAAAUAAAAGACGUUCAGAAUGACCUCAUCCUGCAGGGGGCGGGGUUAUGAGCAGUUCUGGACUGUGAUUAGCAGGUUGUGGUGGCGGUGAUCCAGCACCGGUCCUGCUGGUCAAAGGAGCUGGACCUGGACCGGGGAGACCUGAUCCAGGUUCUGUUUAAGGAGGACGAGUCCUGGUGGUUUGGACGGCUGCCGAACGGAGAGGAAGGUUAUUUCCCUGCGGCCUGUGUGGAGCCGCUGCAGGGCGGAGACUCAGCCAGAGCCACGCCCACUCUGCUCAGGAGGGGGUCGGUGCCAGUGGUGGUGACGCCCACAGGCGCCCCCUGUGGCUGCACCAGCGGUCACUCGACUCUGAAGCUGCUCAGGAAGAACAGCAUCCGCCGCCCGCUGGGACUCGAUGGGUCUUCGGUGGUGGUGGGGGUGUCGGGUGGGUCAGCGGCUCCUCCUCACGGCUCCCCCAGCCUCCUCCACCGAGUCCUGGCUAAGUCCAGGAGGAAGAGCUGCCCCCACCUCCCCCACCCUCCUCUGGACGCCGGCUCCGUCAACACCGCCUUCCAGCCGGACUAGACUGAAGCAGCUGACCUGAGACCAGAUUCUGAUCCACCUGUUUCUGAUCCUGAACCCAGUUAUCAGAGUCAGGUCUCUGUCACUGCUCAGUCUCUGAUGCUGUGUCCAGGUGCAGUCUCAGGUAGAGGUCUUCAUGGGUCCUAAAGUCUGAACCCCAACAGAUCUGGAAAUGUAGCACCCAGAACCGAACCAGACCAGUCCCUUACUUGAACUGGACCUGAAUCCGGCACAGAGACACAGACCUGAUCAGCAGCUGUUCACAGGUUAACAAACGCCAUGUCUUUACCUCUGACCUCUGACCCUGAGUGCAAUAACACAUGUUGACAGACCAGGUCCCAGGUCAGGUCUCAGGUCCUCAGGUCUGGGUGAACUAGUCUGAGGCUUCUGCUGAGCUCAGGUCCGAGUUAACCAGGUGAGAUCUGAGCAGAAUCUCAGUCCUUGGUUUCUGAGACAGAGUCCUGCUCAGGUCACCCAGGUCAUCUCUGAGGUCAUCUCCAAGUCCGAGUGUAGUCCUGAGAGUCUCGGUCUCUGAUGAGUCAGUUCAGUCCAGUUUCUGAUGUGAAAGAAAAACCUUCCGAGAACAGCUGCAGGACCAGAGUCUGAAUCUGUGUCAGGUUCAGGGUUUAGAUCAGGUGUGAACCUGACCUCUGACCUUUACACCUGUAGAAUAAUGAAUCCAAACAGACACAGAGUCUCUGACGUUUAUUACACAUCACACCU